UGCAGUAAGUGCCUUCCGUGGACAUAUUCUUCUUUUCCUAGGACAGUGCCUAUGCUUUGAUUUACAGAAUAAAUGUCUUAGUGAGUGAAUGGGUGGUGGGACAACUGAGUGAACAUGCUUGCUGAGGUUGUGUUUUUUUUUCCUAUAGAAAGACUUAAUAAUUCCAGGACAUACAACUGCCAUCAUUCACAGUGCACCAGAAGAGCAACCCAAUAACGACAGAAUAACUCGUGUUCAUGGAGUCCAUGAAGAUAACAAAUGUGGCAGGAACGUCAGCUGUAGCGGGCAAGAAGAGUAAAAAAUGUUUUUUCAUCACUCAAGUUGCUCCACAACAGCCAAUUAAUAAACAUGGGAUGGACUCUGAUCACACAUUGGACAAAGAUAACAAACGUAGUAAGGAGUCUACCUCCCAAAGAGAUCCUGAAGACAACAACUCACCAAGGAAUUCGAAGGCAGGAACGUCAGCUGUAGCGGGUAAGAAGAGUAAAAAAUGUUUUUUCAUCACUCAAGUUGAUCCACACCAGCUAAUUAUGAACUCUGAUCACGGAUUGGACAGAGAUAACAAACGUAGUAAGGAGUCUACCUCCCAAAGUGAUCCUGAAGACAACAACUCACCAAGGAAUUCGAAGGCAGGAACGUCAGCUGUAGUGGGUAAGAAGAGUAAAAAACGUUUUUUCAUCGCUCAAGUUGCUCCACAACAGCCAAUUAUGAACUCUGAUCACGGAUUGGACAAAGAUAACAAACGUAGUAAGGAGUCUACCUCCCAAAGAGAUCCUGAAGACAGCAACUCACCAAGGAAUUCGAAGACUAUUUCUACAAAUUCUUGGAAGAAAUCCAUUAAUCAAUCAAUGGCAGCCGAUGCAAAAAGAAAAGAUAUGAAUGAACCACUGGAAGAGUUUGCUAAGGGAUCCACUGAGUUGACGCCUCGUCUGGAAGCAAUACAUCCUUUUUGGACAACAUCAGUGGGAAUGAAUGAAGUACAAACAUGCAGACAAGAUAAUGACAUUAAAACAACAAACAAGGAAGAACAAGAAUGGCUUGAUGGAAGUAAAAAUAAGCAAUUUGAAGAAAAAGGGCAGCGUUGCCAAAGUAAGGAAAUGGAAGUGUUAAGAAACUUGCAUGAAAGUGCUGCUCCUCCUGAUGACAGUGAUGGUUGUGGACUGAAUCAGCAGAGACAGAGUGGGGACCUUGAUAACCAGCAAUCUGCCACUAAGAAGAAUGAAGAAUAUUAUUUCUGCCCUGCCUUGCAUAUAAAGGAAACAAAAAAUGAAAAUGAAAAAGUGACUUCCAUGGAGUAUGGGAUUAGACCAGUGAUAGAGAAUGGCUUUUCACUCACUAGAAGUCUACUGCAAGUGAUUUAUGACAACAAUCUGAGUGAGCUCGAUCGUCUUAAAAGGGAACAGUUAAGAAGAAAAGAAAAGCAAUAUCAUAAAGAAGUAGAAGUGAAACAACUUGAAGUGACACAUAGAACACUAGAAUUGGAUGCGAGGACUUCAAAAAACAAUUUGACCCAGGUAAGUUAAUCUUUGAUAAAAUUUUUAUGUUUCUGACUUGAAUCACUGUUACAUAUAAUGUCCUCCUCAUUCAAGAUAUAUACAUAAAUAUAUAUAUACACACACACGCAUAUACUAAACAGGUGUGUAUGCACACAGACACACACACAGAUGUGUAAUCUUUAUUUAAAGUAACCCAAAAAUUAUUCUGAAGAUGAAUUAUGACAUAUACUGCUGGAGUUAUUGCUUGUGAGUCUUGGUACAUGAUGGUGCUUAGUACAUAUUUUCUAAAUAAAGCAGUGCAUAUUGAGUUGAAUUUAAUAACU
RNAcentral lists this long non-coding RNA (1819 nucleotides) under Oryctolagus cuniculus (rabbit). Its description in RNAcentral is "lncRNA (ENSOCUG00000034206.1)". Lineage: Eukaryota; Metazoa; Chordata; Mammalia; Lagomorpha; Leporidae. The record is from RNAcentral.